UAUUGCACAAUGGGGGAAACCCUGAUGCAGCGACGCCGCGUGAGUGAAGAAGUAUUUCGGUAUGUAAAGCUCUAUCAGCAGGGAAGAUAAUGACGGUACCUGACUAAGAAGCCCCGGCUAACUACGUGCCAGCAGCAGCGGUAAUACGUAGGGGGCAAGCGUUAUCCGGAUUUACUGGGUGUAAAGGGUGCGUAGGUGGCAUGGCAAGUCAGAAGUGAAAGCCCGGGGCUCAACCCCGCGGACUGCUUUUGAAACUGUCAGGCUGGAGUACAGGAGAGGUAAGCGGAAUUCCUAGUGUAGCGGUGAAAUGCGUAGAUAUUAGGAGGAACACCAGUGGCGAAGGCGGCUUACUGGACUGUAACUGACACUGAGGCACGAAAGCGUGGGGAGCAAACAGG
RNAcentral lists this ribosomal RNA (398 nucleotides) under uncultured bacterium. RNAcentral describes it as "bacterial SSU rRNA". It matches the Rfam family "Bacterial small subunit ribosomal RNA", at positions 362 to 776 of the family's 1533-position model. The record is from RNAcentral.